This 258-nucleotide long non-coding RNA is filed under the name Mytilus galloprovincialis (Mediterranean mussel). Lineage: Eukaryota; Metazoa; Mollusca; Bivalvia; Mytilida; Mytilidae. The record is from RNAcentral.
UUUACUAGAGUCUAAGAUAUACAAAGAGACGUCGGCAAGUGACGACGUUGCGGGCCUAUUGUUACGUAAAUGGCGGUAAAACGUUAAGCAAAUAAAAGAGUAUAAAAUACUAAACUGAAACUAUAACUAAUUCACAACAUUCUGGGGGCCGCAAAAUGCAAUUACUGUUCAUGUAUUGUUCAUAAAAAGGGUUUGGAAAAAACACCUUUAACAAUUAAAGUUCAUAUUUCUAAUGGCACCAGUUUCACAAUUGGUCUC